Molecule: long non-coding RNA, 7078 nt
Filed under: Olea europaea subsp. europaea
Lineage: Eukaryota; Viridiplantae; Streptophyta; Magnoliopsida; Lamiales; Oleaceae
Source: RNAcentral
CCUGAGUAUAGUGGUGAUUAUUGGUUUAUUAUUAUUUGGUCAUUUUAUUGGAGGUUCGACGAGGAUUCCAAAAGUGCAGCAACUGUUGCAAGAUUUUUUGAAUGGGAAGGAGCUCUACAGGAGGGUUAAUCCGGACGAGGCUGCGAAUCCUCUGCUCUCUCGCUCUUUUACAAAUGAAAUCACUCAGGUCACGACCUCUACUUUUGGCCAAACCUUAAGAUGAAGAAGAAAGGUAAUCCGCUCUAUUUUAUUUUCUUCUUCUCCAGUGAAACGAGCCUCGAAACAGGUAUAAUUUUUUUUCCUUCUAUUGUCCUUUUUUGUUUCAGAUGUUUUCUAUAUCUUGAUGGAAUUUUUCGCGAGCUAAGAGGAAGAAGAAAGGUAAUCCCCUCUUCUUACACACGCACAAAUGCACGCUUCACCAAUUUCAUUUUCUUUUCCAGUAUAUUGAACCUCGAAAUAGGUAUAGUUCUUUCUUUCUAUUGACCUUCUUUUUUGCUUCAUUACUUCUCUUUUGUGUGUAGGGUUUAUCGAUUUUGCAAAUGAGGCAGAUGAGAGGGCCAAGGAAGCGGAUAUUCGGGUCCACGAAUUGGAGGAGCAGAAUAAGUUGCCUGAGGAUUCUCAUCUCUACGAGUACCGAUGCGAGAAACAGAUGGCAAAUUAAUUUCUUCACCAAAUUUUCUUAAUCUUUUUAACACUUAUGUUGUUCACCUCUUAUUGAUUGUAUGAUUAAUUGUGAAAUUACCUCUGUGGGAUUUGGAAAUUUAUUAAAAGCCAUAGGUUUUGUAGGGCUAACUAACCAAAUAAGUGAUUUUGGGUAAAGGGAAAAUAUGAAGAAAGCAAAUUGAUCUUACUGAGCCGUGUAUUAUAUAAUUCCCUUGUUUUUUUUUUCCUUGAGAGACUUGUUAAUUUAGAAAAAUGGAAACUUGGAUGAUGGUAAUACAUCCUGAAAAUCAAAGUUCUUUUCAAUGAUAGAAUAGUGUCACCCACUCAACUUUGGGCUGCAUGAGUUUCUAGGACAUUUUUGGAUAAAGUAUGAACUAAGUGGGCAUGAAAAUGGAAAAUGAAUAUUAGUAAUACUGGAAGGAGAUGAAGAUGAAAAUGGAAAAUGAAUAUUAGUAAUACUGUCUGAACUUUAUGAUCCUCUUCUCUAACAUCAAUCUUUACUGCUGAGGAAUUCUGUUAUUGCUGCCGGCCUAUUCUGAAUAUGUGACUUCUUUCUGUUUUAAAUUUGCUACUUUUAUGUCGUAACUUUGAACUUUGCUUCAGAAUCUUCUCUUCCAGUUAUAUUUUGCGGUUUAUGACUUUCUAGAUUGAUUAACAUAGAAAAUAGAUAAACUAUACAGUUAACAACUGGUUGAGGAUGUAAACGCUUGACAAUGGGAGAAUGUAGUUUCAAAAUCAAAGAAAAUCCUUUGGUAACAAUUUAUAUCUCAUUUGGCCUAAUAGAAGUUUCGUUUGUAGCCAUUUGAAAUCAUAAAUUACUUUGUAUUACAAGUAACGUUUCUUUAAUUUUUCUGUCAUUUUUUAAGUUUCAAGAUUCAUGUAAUGAAUUUUCUGUUUUCAUUGGAACAUGAGGGGAAAUUGUGAUUAAUUCAGAGUUAUGACAUGCGUGUGCAGGCCCAUUCGUUUGUUUACCUCCUGUGGGAAGUCUUGUGGUCUAUUUUCCUCAAGGUCAUAGUGAACAAGUACGUCCUUUCUCUCCUUUCUCUCUAUUUCGAGAAAUAUUGUAAAUUUUCACACGAUAUCUGAUAUGUACUUGUAUAUAUUCUAUUUGUAGGUGGCAGCAUUGAUUCAAAAGGAGGCUGAGAGCAUCCCAAGUUAUCCAAACCUUCCGUCGAAGUUGAUCUCCAUGCUCCAUAAUGUCAAUUUACAUGUAUGAACACUUCCAUAGUGCAACGGAAACUUUUAAACAUUUUUUUCUCCGUGUCGAAAUUUAUUUUCUUCUUGGGUUUUAUACUAGAUAAGUACUUGAUGAUCGUCAAUUUGAUCUACUAUGCAAUAAAUCAAUAUCAAUAAUGAUGUUCAAUUUGAUCUAUCUAUGCAGUAAGUCAACAUCAGCGAUAUUUAUCUUCAAUGGCUUUAGUUGUUAUUUGACUGGAUCAAUCUUAUGUUUCUUUAUCCUCUCCUCAGUAAGUUUUUUCCCCUGCCUUCCUUUUCAUGGUACUUCAAUUUGUGAUUUUUGGCUCUUUAAGAGAGAAUAUGGAUGGGAUCAUUUUACUGUAUUUCAAGAUUUUUAUGGUGAUGAGUUUCUGGUUCAUGCCCCAAUGUUCUCUCUUUUCACAUGUGAAAAAGGAUCUUGUUUUCUUGCUGUCGUUUUUGCUGUCUCACAUCUGCUUGCAGAGUCAACCACUUGAUGGUGGCUGUAUAUGUAGUUGUACAGGCAGCUGUUCCAUCUUUAAUGUUUGUGUUGUUUCCCAUUUCAGCAUCUUGUCAGUUAUUGCUUUGACAUGUAUGAUUCACAAUUUAUGUUUAAUGUGUGUGCACAUUAUAUUGUAUUUUCACAUGCCUAACAAAUGGGGGGGGAAAAAAAAGUGCUAGCAGAUUUUGACAAUACUGUGAGUUAAUUUGUUGUACUUUAUAGUUAGGAGUUGUUUCAAAAAGUUCUCCAUAAAAAGGUUUGUGGAUUUAGAUAAAAGAUGGUGAAAUGUGUCACAUGUGGUUGAAAAGUUGAUAAAAGUUGUGUGUUCCAUGAUAUUAUGGUUAAAAUCAAUUUUUUAGCAACAUUUUUUGCUUUCCUGAACAAGCACUUUGUAGAUAAGCAUUUACUAUCCCCUUACGUAUUAGACUGCAAAUAAUUCUCUUUCUUUCCUUUUCUUUUGUCCCGUCUGUAUUUGUUCCUUUUGGCAUAAUUAUUUUCGUUCAAUCAGUGCAAGCAAUAUGAGAAGGACCUAAUGGACAUGAUCGAUAGAGAAGUGGAUGGAAGUGAUAGUCUUGAGGGGAUUUGUUCUGUGCCAUUCAAUUGCUAGUGGUACAAGCUAAGGUUUCCAAAUCCUAUCACAUUGUGCAAAUUUUCUAUGUAAAUUCCAAAAUAUGAAUGUCUUGAUUCAUAUUUGAUUUUCAUAAGAAUAUGAAACUGGUUUUGUACUGUUCACGGAAGGACAGGUCAACUGCACUGUAGAGGCCCAAUUUAUUCUCUCUGCUUUCACUGUAUAUACUCAAUGUAUCUAUCUCUUCCUUUUCAUUUCUUCCCCCAUUUAGCCAUCCUUGUUGACUAUAUAAUAGUUAUUUGCUUUCCAUGUAGCCACCAUUCUUUCUAGCUACAGUGGUUCUGCAUUGUUCAUUAAAUGAUCGCCCUAACAAAGCGUCAUUUCUUCCAUCUCUAAACCCUCUUUUUUCUUUCCCGAAUUUCAAUCCCCAUUCCCAACACACUUUAAUUCCUCCUACAACGCUAAAAACCCUUCAAUUAAUUUCAUCUCUCCAGGAAUGAGCUGGCUGUACAAGCUUAGAUUUGGUGUUCUUAACUCCACCGACUCCAUGUGGAUUCCUCUUUCGAUUCUUCCAUAGCGCAUGGGACUAGACGAUCAUGUACUCGCUCUGAGCCAUCAGUUCGUGCAAUUCGAAGGAGGUAGAGAAUAUAGUAUUGGCUUCCUCCAUUGCAAUUUAUUGUUGAGUUUUUUUAAAACAGUAUUUAAUCGUAUCCCCAAGAAAAAUUUAUGAAUUUCAGUUCAGAAAUUUGAGAAAAAAUGUGAAGUUUAGGUUUGCUUUCAUCUUAAAUGUCUUAAAAGUUUGUUCUUAUUGGCAAAAAGUUUUAAAUUUCUGCAUUUAUUUAAUUAAGCUUGCUCAUUUUUAUCACCGGCAAAACUAAGAUUUCAGAUUUUGGGUGUGGUGUGGGGCUGAGCAACAUAGGGAAGCAGCAAUGCACAAAGGUCACUCAGAUUAAAAGGCUAAUUGCUAGAAACUGGUGAAUAUAAGCACAAGGAAGAUUUGGAAAUGCUUAUAAAUUUAGAGCUGGGGAAGUUAAAUUAUGUUGAGAACGAGUUCCGGAAUUAUGAAUAUAUUGUAAGAAAAAAUAAUAAAUGAGAUUGUAUAUAAAAUAAAAAGUGGAGCAAUUUGAUUGAAUUAUGCCACUAUGAGUUUUAAUUUUUGAUUUCUUUUAUUUUUUGAUUGUCAAAUUUGUCGACGAAUAAAUGAAACAUAGGAUUGAGUUGAGUAUGACGUGGAGAAAUGUGACUAGAGAGCUUGAAACAUUGACCUCUUGAAAAUUAACUUUUGAGAACGUGAAAACUUCCAACUAGAAAGUAGAAACUGCAUGAUCGGCUGAAUAAUUUGUAAAAAGAAGUGACAAACUGUAAUUUCUCUAUUUUGUGAUUUAUGUUUUCGUGAACAUUAUUGUAGCUAGAUGUUCCUUUAGUUUAUCAUUCACAUAUUGAAAUGAGAUAUUGCACAUGCUAGAAGAAAUAUGUAAUCCUCCUUCUGGUUCUUGGCAAAAUUUGAAGGUGAGUAGAAUUUUCUGAGUACGAACUUUGUUGUUGUUGUUUUUUUUUCUGGCAAUUAUAUUUAUCUUGUGAAAAACUGUUUCAGGAUUACAUGUGAAAAUCUAGGGAUGUUUUUUUUCUCAAGUUUCUUGUGAUGAUGAUGGUAAGUUAUUUUACUCAAUACAAUUUUUUUUACUAUAGAGAUGCUAAUGGCUCCGUGCAACCUUGUUAAUGGGGUUUAUAAACAUUUGUUACUAUAUUCAGGAACCUUUGGCAUAGUUAACUAUAGUAAUUGCUAAAACAUUAAUUAUGUUGUAAGUCACAGUUGUAUUCAUCUUCAAAAUGUUUGAGCUUCUGUGCAUCCAUGAAUUUUUCUAGUCAAUUUGGUAAUUUGUUGUCCUCUUGCUCAGAUCCGGAAAUUUGAUGAUCACGAUUUGAAGAAUCUUUCGACCAGAAUAAUAUCCGGGUAUUCUUUUAUAUUUUUUCUCUUCUUUGUCUGUUUUUCUUCUCUUUUAAGGGAUUAAAUUUUCAAAGAAUGUCGUUUCUUCUUUAUCAAAAAAAAAAAAAAAACCCAAAGCAAGCACUUGGAAUUCAGUUUCUAUUUCUAAUAUAGUGUUAGAAAUUACAUUUGUGCCUUUGUAACCUAUACAAUGCUCAAAUCUUGAACUUCUUACUUCUUAGAGGGAUUUAACUCUUACAGUAUCGUAAUUUUUACUACUAAAAUCUAAGAAUUCGUACAAUAAUAUCUUUACGAAAGUAACUAUCUUAUGAAAUAAUAAACUUUUUUCUUUGUAAAUCAAUAAAUUCAGGUAAAGGAAUACAAGCACAGCCCAUCAAGAAGGCCACGUAGGAGCCGCCGUAGAAUAUCGUAAUUCUUACUACUGAAAUCUAAGAAUUCGUACAAUAAUAUCUUUACGAAAGCAACUAUCUUAUGAAAUAAUAAACUUUUUUCUUUGUAAAUCGAUGAAUCACAAUCACGUAUAAUCAUCUGAAUAAUUCCGGUUGCUAUAGUAACUACUUUUAUGGUCCUUCAAUUUACAACCGCAAGAACUCUUUCGCUGAACAAGUUUUUCUUUUAUGUUAAUGAGACAGUAAAGUGUAUAACUAAAAGUUGUGUAGCAUAUGGAGGAGAAGAGUCUUUGCCUGUGAACGUCAGCUUCUUUAAUUUGCUAAACUUAUUAUGUAUUUUGUAGUAAGAAAAAUGACCUACUUGUCUCCUUAGGAAAUGGAGUUAAACUUUGUUAUAAUGCUUAUUAGCUGAAUUAUUAUUGAGCCAAACUUCUCUCAUUUGCGAAAUUAUUAUGUCUUUCAUAAUACAUUUUCAUUCCGUUUCCAGAACCUAUUUAAUCUAUUCAUUUUCAUUUGGGUAUAGUUCUAGGUAACAAAACAUAUCCCUUCAAAAUAGAAAUUCCAAUUUUUACUAUCUUCCUAUUUUUUCGGUGUUCAUUUGAUAAAGUAUAUUUGUUUGGUGAUUCUUGUUGUAGGUUCUUUCAAGUUUCCUCUUCAUUCUCUUAUCUACUGAACAAUACAAAUCUAAGGUGAGGAUUCCUUUUUUUUUUUUUUUUUUGGUAAAGUUUAUUUCUUCUACUUCUAAAAAAUUUACUUUCAAUUUCUUUUUACCGUUAGCUUUAGUUUUAAAAUUUUAAAAUUUUUAUUUUGUAUUCAUGAUUUUUUUAUUCCUACAACUGUUUCGUUAAGUUUGUUUCUUUUACUUUUAAAGGAAUUACUGUCAAAGACCUCAAGGUCCACAAUUCCUGGUCAUUUUGAAGCCUCCAAAUAUGUGAUUUGCAAUCAUGGGUGAAAUCUCUAGAAUACUCCAGGUGAGUUUCUAAUUAGGAUAGGCAUUUCUUCAUUGUGUUGAUCACAUCUAUUCUAAGCACUAAACUUUGUGCUGGUGGAAACUUUUCUAAAAUAGAUGAGUGAUGAAGAACAUGUCAUUUUGAAUUUUAAAUUUACUUGAAAAAAUUUGAAUACAUUGGUGGCUAAGGAUAUGUUUUACAGAUGCUUUCUUAAAAUAUGUUCACAACUCAUGAGUAUAGUGCAAACUCGUCAUGGCAUCGAUCAUAUCGAACUCUUCAGGUUCUUUAUAACUGAUAUUGUUUUUGAUGUAUCCACUGCUCCAUAUAUGAUGCAUGCUUUUGAAUUAAUUUUAGGUUGCGCUUGAAGAUGGAAUCAGUGUCUUGAGAUUGGAAUUAUCGAGAAGCUAAUUCCAAAUUUUCCUAUUUUGACGUCCCAGUUUUUAUGUUACUUAAAAAGUGUAUUAUUGUCUAACAUCUUAAGCUUUGAUGUGCUCUGGAGGAUGUUAUAAAAAAUUCAUAUGAGGAAGUUAGAUAUAAACCUUUAUGUUGUCUACUAAUUUUGUUGUACCGAAAGAUAGUUGAGCUACAUUGUAAUUUUGCUGAUGUCAGGCCAUUUAGUAGAUGCUUAAUUUUGAAUUAUUAUAACAAGACAAGUGCAGGUGUAAUGUAUAUGUGAGCACAUGUUUAAAACAGUUAAAAAUAGUUUAUCAUCUCAAGUUGUUCAAUUUUUUACCGUUCUUUUUGUGUACUGUCAAAGCCUAUGGCAGAUUUCACUUAUAUAAAAUCGCUUUUCAAGAUAUGUAGUGGAAAAUUGGUAAUUUCAAAUUUGUUAACUACAGUUAAGAGUUUGACACUGGUGUUUGA